This 971-nucleotide long non-coding RNA is filed under the name Homo sapiens (human). RNAcentral's name for it is "non-protein coding lnc-ZNF713-3:2". Lineage: Eukaryota; Metazoa; Chordata; Mammalia; Primates; Hominidae. The record is from RNAcentral.
UUUGCAGGGAGCUGGUAAGUCGCCUACAGGAGCGAAAUGUUCAGGUUUUCCUAAUAUCUGGUGGCUUUAGGAGUAUUAUAGAGCAUGUUGCUUCAAAGCUCAAUAUCCCAGCAACCAAUGUAUUUGCCAGUAGGCUGAAAUUCUACCUUAAUGGAUGCUUUCAUUGGAUUUGGAGGAAAUGUGAUCAGGCAACAAGUCAAGGAUAACGCCAAAUGGUAUAUCACUGAUUUUGUAGAGCUGCUGGGAGAACCGGAAGAAUAACAUCCAUUGUCAUACAGCUCCAAACAACUUCAGAUGAAUUUUUACAAGUUACACAGAUUGAUACUGUUUGCUUACAAUUGCCUAUUACAACUUGCUAUAGAAAGUUGGUACAGAUGAUCUGCACUGUCAAGUAAACUACAGUUAGGAAUCCUCAAAGAUUGGUUUGUUUGUUUUUAACUGUAGUUCCAGUAUUAUAUGAUCACUAUCGAUUUCCUGGAGAGUUUUGUAAUCUGAAUUCUUUAUGUAUAUUCCUAGCUAUAUUUCAUACAAAGUGUUUUAAGAGUGGAGAGUCAAUUAAACACCUUUACUCUUAGGAAUAUAGAUUCGGCAGCCUUCAGUGAAUAUUGGUUUUUUUCCCUUUGGUAUGUCAAUAAAAGUUUAUCCAUGUGUCAGAACAGAUUUGUGGAAUUUGCAGUUCUGCCUCUUGGAUAUUGGAAUAUCCAAUAUUUCAGGAUGCUUGCUCUUUGAACUCAGCCAUCAUGCUGUGAGGAAGCCCAGAUCACAAGGAGAGGCCACAUUUUGAUGUUCCAGUCAACAGUCCCAGCACAGGUUUCAGAUGACAGCCAACAUCAGUUGCCAGACAUGAGACUGAAGAAGGCUUUGUGAAGACUCCAGCCCCAGCCACUACAACAGCAUGAGAGACCCCAAGUGAAAAUCACCUGCCUGAACCCAUCAACUCCCAGAACCAUGAAAAUAAAAAACUUUUUUUU